GAGUGUAUAGCUCAGUGCUAGAGCAUGCUUAGCAUGCACAAGGGCCUGGGUUCAAUUCCCAGUACCUCCA
Molecule: transfer RNA, 70 nt
Filed under: Camelus ferus (Wild Bactrian camel)
Lineage: Eukaryota; Metazoa; Chordata; Mammalia; Artiodactyla; Camelidae
Rfam family: tRNA
About the family: Transfer RNA (tRNA) molecules are approximately 80 nucleotides in length. Their secondary structure includes four short double-helical elements and three loops (D, anti-codon, and T loops).
Source: Rfam by way of RNAcentral